GAGUUUGAUCGUGGCUCAGAUUGAACGCUGGCGGCAUGCCUUACACAUGCAAGUCGAACGGCAGCAUGAUCUAGCUUGCUAGAUUGAUGGCGAGUGGCGAACGGGUGAGUAAUACACCGGAACGUGCCCUGUAGUGGGGGAUAACUAGUCGAAAGAUUAGCUAAUACCGCAUACGACCUGAGGGUGAAAGUGGGGGACCGCAAGGCCUCAUGCUAUAGGAGCGGCCGAUGUCUGAUUAGCUAGUUGGUGGGGUAAAGGCCCACCAAGGCGACGAUCAGUAGCUGGUCUGAGAGGACGAUCAGCCACACUGGGACUGAGACACGGCCCAGACUCCUACGGGAGGCAGCAGUGGGGAAUUUUGGACAAUGGGCGAAAGCCUGAUCCAGCAAUGCCGCGUGUGUGAAGAAGGCCUCGG
Molecule: ribosomal RNA, 415 nt
Filed under: uncultured microorganism
Description: bacterial SSU rRNA
Rfam family: Bacterial small subunit ribosomal RNA
Source: RNAcentral